Molecule: long non-coding RNA, 214 nt
Filed under: Fukomys damarensis (Damara mole-rat)
Lineage: Eukaryota; Metazoa; Chordata; Mammalia; Rodentia; Bathyergidae
Description: lncRNA (ENSFDAG00000029928.1)
Source: RNAcentral
CCCAUAAGGCUUUUGUCAGGACCGGUGCCAAUGUUAACAUGAAAAAAAUGGAUGACAACAUCCUGGGAGAGCUGAGUGGUUCCAUCUGGGGCCCAGGGCCAGCCAGCCACCACAUCACUUAGACACUGCACACCGUCCUCCUUGCAUCCUCAUCCUUGGCCGUGUCUGUUUGCUGCAGACUGGCAUUUUCACAUCAUUAUGCUUUUCAAGGUAC